UGGCCAGACAAGUCCGUUGGGAAAUCGACGUGCCUAACGCGUCGGCGUCCAGCGGAAACUGUCUGGCUUGGGACCGGAAGACCCGAGGGGUACGUCCGGGGUAGGAGUGAAAUCCCGUAAUCCUGGACGGACCACCGGUGGCGAAAGCGCCUCGGGAAGACGGAUCCGACAGUGAGGGACGAAAGCUGGGGUCUCGAACCGGAUUAGAUACCCGGGUAGUCCCAGCUGUAAACGAUGUCCGCUAGGUGUGCCGCAGGCUACGAGCCUGCGCUGUGCCGUAGGGAAGCCGUGAAGCGGACCGCCUGGGAA
This 309-nucleotide ribosomal RNA is filed under the name uncultured archaeon. Its description in RNAcentral is "bacterial SSU rRNA". It matches the Rfam family "Archaeal small subunit ribosomal RNA", at positions 526 to 834 of the family's 1478-position model. The record is from RNAcentral.